Molecule: ribosomal RNA, 778 nt
Filed under: uncultured bacterium
Lineage: Bacteria
Description: bacterial SSU rRNA
Rfam family: Bacterial small subunit ribosomal RNA
Source: RNAcentral
GCGUAAAGAGCUCGUACGUCGUUUGUUACGUCGGAUGUGAAAACCUGAGGCUCAACCUCAGGCCUGCAUUCGAUACGGGCAAACUAGAGUUUGGUAGGGGAGACUGGAAUUCCUGGUGUAGCGGUGGAAUGCGCAGAUAUCAGGAGGAACACCAAUGGCGAAGGCAGGUCUCUGGGCCAAUACUGACACUGAGGAGCGAAAGUCUGGGGAGCGAACAGGAUUAGAUACCCUGGUAGUCCAGACCGUAAACGGUGGGCACUAGUUGUGGGAACCUUCCACGGUUUCUGCGACGCAGCUAACGCAUUAAGUGCCCCGCCUGGGGAGUACGAUCGCAAGAUUAACACUCAGAGGAAUUGACGGGGCCCCGCACAAGCAGCGGAGCAUGCGGCCUAAUUCGACGCAACGCGAAGAACCUUACCAAGGCUUGACAUAUAGGGAAAAGUGGCAGAGAUGUCAUGUCCGCAAGGGCUCUAUACAGGUGGUGCAUGGUUGUCGUCAGCUCGUGUCGUGAGAUGUUGGGUUAAGUCCCGCAACGAGCGCAACCCUCGUUCUGUGUUGCCAGCAUUUAGUUGGGGACUCACAGGAGACUGCCGGGGUUAACUCGGAGGAAGGUGGGGAUGACGUCAAAUCAUCAUGCCCCUUAUGUCUUGGGCUGCACGCAUGCUACAAUGGCUGGUACAAAGGGCUGCAAUACUGCAAAGUGGAGCGAAUCCCAAAAAGCCAGUCUCAGUUCGGAUUGAGGUCUGCAACUCGACCUCAUGAAGUCGGAGUUGCUAGU